CUUUUUGACUAUGCAAUCGAGUUUGCUCACCACUCCCUAAGGCUGCAACUCACACCCACUCCUCUCUGGUCCAGAGGGAGGGAGUGGAAGGCUGAGAUGACUGUUGUGCAGAAGGGAUGCCAAGGAUGUAAAUAGAGAAGGCAGGAGGGGCAUGAAUCUUCUGGUUGGUGAGAGAGGAGAGGAUGCCCACCCCUGACAGCAGGAGAUCCAAGUAGGAAAGUGCAGGAGGUGCCAGGAGACGCUACCUAGGGGUCAGGAGAGAAAUAAUAAAUGGAGAUGUCACCUACAGUGAUGGUAGAAUUGCAGAUAUGACAGCCAGAGACUGGAAAAGAGAAGAAAGAAGACGAAAGAGAGGGAACAGAAAGAAAGAAGGGGAAGGAGUGGGAGUAAAGAGCCAGACCUCAGAGAACACCAACACUUAGGAUGUUAGGAAGAAAAAGAGCUCGAGGAUUAGACAGUCGAAGCGGUCAGAGACAAUGAGAAGAGCAGACCCACGAGGGACGGGAAGGUUUCUCGAAGAUCCAUCAGUGCUGGGGAAGUUUCUCAGUCUGCUCAGGCUGCCAUAACGAAAGACCGCAGACUGGGUGGCUCAAACAACAGAACUUUAUUUUCUCACAGUUGUAGAAGCUGGAAGUCUGAGACCAGAGUGCCACCAUGGGCACGAGGAGGAGGGUGAUAAAAAGAAUACAGCCUGGCGCAUGGUGAGCUCCGAAUCAGUGUUAACUAAUAUCGUCGGACUGAGCGAAAGAAGCAAGACGCAGAAUGAGUUUAGGUCAACUGAAAGCACAGUGGUGUACCCGGGACCUCCUUCGUCCUACUACAGAAAGCAAGGCCUCAAUGAAGAUGUUUGCAUGUGUUCCCUUCUGGACCUGUGUCGAGGACCCGGCACGCUCACCAUGAGACUGCUGGAUCCUUCACUGUGGAUAAUUUCUCUUGACUGAAUUCCACCUGAUGGCUCUCCAAAUCGCUGCCACCAGGGGCGUGCAACAUCCCUGGUUCCCCACAACCCUGUGAACACUUGGCGUCAUCCAACUUUCUAGUGAGUAUAAAGCAACAGUUGACUGCUGUGUUAACUAUGUCUCUCCAAUUAUUAUUGAGUUUGAGCAGCCCUACAUUUAUUUAUGAGCUAUUUCGGUUUCCCUUUCUGUGAAUUGCUUGUUUAUACACUUUGCCCAGUGCUCUAUUGGGUUUCAUUUCUUUUUAUUAACAAUUUAUGGGACUUCUUGUCUAUUCUAGGUUUCAGUCACACGUGGGUUUCAGAUGAGGCAUCUGUGGAUGACAUUUGUCUAUAGCAGGCUUUCUCAGUCUAGGUGCUAUUGACAUUUUGGCCAGAUAAUUCUUCGUUCUGGGGCUGUCCUAUGCGUUGGGGGAUGCUUAGCCUCUACCCACUUAGAAGCCAGUAGCAUCUCCCAUGCAGUUGUGACAACAAAAAUGUCUCCGGAUACUGCCAAAUGUCCUGUAAUGGGGGCAAAAUCGCCCCCACUUGAGAAGCACUGGUCUAUAGGCUAUUCCCCACCUUGGAUGUUGGUUAUCUAAUCCCAUUGAUUAGAAAUCCAUAAUUUUGGUUAAAACUUAAAUUCAUUAAGUUUUCAUCUUGCGCUUUGUGUUGGGGGAUCUUGUUUGAGAAGCCCUCCUCACUCCUAGGUUAUUAAAAUGUUUACUCAGCUUUAUUGUUUAGGCUUCAACGUUUAAGUCUUCAAUUUCUCUGGAGUCCACUUUUGCAUUCUGGGUCAAGUAGGAUCCAGUUGUGUUCUGAUAUGUGUAGUCAGCCAGUUUUCCAAAGCCAUCUACUAGUUAGUGGGACCUUUCUCAUUGAUCUAUGAGGUUGUAUUCAUCUUAUAUCAAGUUCCCAUAUGUGCGUGCUCUGUCAACAAGCUCUCUAUCCUCUUCCUUUGGGCUGUUGACCUGCCCUUCCAUCAGAACCACAGUCCAUGACUGUGACUUUUUUUUUUUUUUGGUAAGGAAGAUUGCCCCUGAGUUAACAUCUGUGCCAAUCUUCCUCCAUUUUGUAUGUGAGACACCACCACAGCAGGGCUUGAUGAGUGGUGUGUAGGUCCGCACCCAGGAUCUAAACCUGCAAAUCCCCGGCCACUGAAACGGAGUGCGUGAACUUAAUCACUAUGCCACCAGGCUGGUCCCUACUAUGACUUUUACUAUAUUUUAAUAUCUAGGAGAGCUGUCCCCCACUUUUAAAAGUUGGCUCCGCUAUUUGCAGAUGUUUAUACUUAUUAAUUUCAGAAGAAGUUUGUCAAGUUUCUCAACAUAAUCUAUCUGGAAUUCUGAUUGCAAUUGCAUCAAAUUUAUAAAUUAAUUUGAAG
RNAcentral lists this long non-coding RNA (2318 nucleotides) under Equus caballus (horse). RNAcentral's name for it is "lncRNA (ENSECAG00000058123.1)". The record is from RNAcentral. Lineage: Eukaryota; Metazoa; Chordata; Mammalia; Perissodactyla; Equidae.